AUUGAACGCUGGCGGCAUGCUUUACAUAUGCAAGUCGAACGGUAACAGCACUUCGGUGGCUGACGAGUGGCGAACGGGUGAGUAAUACAUCGGAACGUGCCUAGUAGUGGGGGAUAACUACUCGAAAGAGUAGCUAAUACCGCAUGAGAUCUAAGGAUGAAAGCAGGGGACCUUCGGGCCUUGCGCUACUAGAGCGGCUGAUGGCAGAUUAGGUAGUUGGUGGGUUAAAAGCUUACCAAGCCGACGAUCUGUAGCUGGUCUGAGAGGACGACCAGCCACACUGGGACUGAGACACGGCCCAGACUCCUACGGGAGGCAGCAGUGGGGAAUUUUGGACAAUGGGCGCAAGCCUGAUCCAGCAAUGCCGCGUGCAGGAUGAAGGCCUUCGGGUUGUAAAAUGCUUUUGUACGGAACGAAAAGCCCUCUUCUAAUACAGGAGGGUCAUGAAGGUACCGUAAGAAUAAGCACCGGCUAACUACGUG
RNAcentral lists this ribosomal RNA (482 nucleotides) under uncultured bacterium. RNAcentral's name for it is "partial 16S ribosomal RNA". It matches the Rfam family "Bacterial small subunit ribosomal RNA", at positions 30 to 507 of the family's 1533-position model. The record is from RNAcentral.